AGACGAUGCUUAUGCAUCUCCUCAGCCCAAACGAAUCCUGGAUAUCAAUUGGAUUUAUAUCAUCCUUAUCAGUAACUCACG
This 81-nucleotide non-coding RNA is filed under the name Legionella pneumophila subsp. pneumophila. Its description in RNAcentral is "Legionella RNA 69". It matches the Rfam family "Legionella RNA 69". Lineage: Bacteria; Pseudomonadati; Pseudomonadota; Gammaproteobacteria; Legionellales; Legionellaceae. The record is from RNAcentral. RNAcentral also lists the same sequence under 1 other name.